AGUGAACGCUGGCGGUAGGCCUAACACAUGCAAGUCGAACGGCAGCACAGUAAGAGCUUGCUCUUGCGGGUGGCGAGUGGCGGACGGGUGAGGAAUACAUCGGAAUCUACUUUUUCGUGGGGGAUAACGUAGGGAAACUUAUGCUAAUACCGCAUACGACCUACGGGUGAAAGCAGGGGAUCUUCGGACCUUGCGCGAUUGAAUGAGCCGAUGUCGGAUUAGCUAGUUGGCGGGGUAAAGGCCCACCAAGGCGACGAUCCGUAGCUGGUCUGAGAGGAUGAUCAGCCACACUGGAACUGAGACACGGUCCAGACUCCUACGGGAGGCAGCAGUGGGGAAUAUUGGACAAUGGGCGCAAGCCUGAUCCAGCCAUACCGCGUGGGUGAAGAAGGCCUUCGGGUUGUAAAGCCCUUUUGUUGGGAAAGAAAAGCAGCAGGUUAAUACCCCGCUGUUCUGACGGUACCCAAAGAAUAAGCACCGGCUAACUUCGUG
This 492-nucleotide ribosomal RNA is filed under the name uncultured bacterium. RNAcentral describes it as "partial 16S ribosomal RNA". It matches the Rfam family "Bacterial small subunit ribosomal RNA", at positions 29 to 507 of the family's 1533-position model. The record is from RNAcentral.